GUGCUCGCUUUGGCAGCACAUAUACUAAAAUUGGAAUGAUACAGAGAAGAUUAUGGGACCUAAUUAAACUUAAAAGCUUCUGCACAACAAAGGAAACUAUAAGCAAGGUGAAAAGACAACCUUCA
Molecule: small nuclear RNA, 125 nt
Organism: Bos grunniens (domestic yak)
Lineage: Eukaryota; Metazoa; Chordata; Mammalia; Artiodactyla; Bovidae
Source: Ensembl